UUGUACACACCGCCCGUCACACCAUGGGAGUCAGCAACGCCCGAAGUCAGUGACCCAACCGCAAGGAGGGAGCUGCCGAAGGCGGGGCGGAUAACUGGGGUGAAGUCGUAACAAGGUAGCCGUAUCGGAAGGUGCGGCUGGAUCACCUCCUUUCUAAGGAA
RNAcentral lists this ribosomal RNA (161 nucleotides) under Lachnospiraceae bacterium. RNAcentral describes it as "partial 16S ribosomal RNA". It matches the Rfam family "Bacterial small subunit ribosomal RNA", at positions 1381 to 1533 of the family's 1533-position model. The record is from RNAcentral. Lineage: Bacteria; Bacillati; Bacillota; Clostridia; Lachnospirales; Lachnospiraceae.